CAUGGCGCAGUGUGAAAAACUCCGGUGGUAUAAGAUGGAUCCGCGCCUGAUUAGCUAGUUGGCGGGGCAGCGGCCCACCAAGGCGACGAUCAGUAGCCGGCCUGAGAGGGCGACCGGCCACAUUGGGACUGAGACACGGCCCAAACUCCUACGGGAGGCAGCAGUGGGGAAUAUUGCACAAUGGGGGGAACCCUGAUGCAGCGACGCCGCGUGAGUGAAGAAGUAUUUCGGUAUGUAAAGCUCUAUCAGCAGGGAAGAAGAUGACGGUACCUGACUAAGAAGCCCCGGCUAACUACGUGCCAGCAGCCGCGGUAAUACGUAGGGGGCAAGCGUUAUCCGGAUUUACUGGGUGUAAAGGGAGCGUAGACGGCAGGGCAAGUCUGGAGUGAAAGCCCGGGGCCCAACCCCGGGACUGCUUUGGAAACUGCCAUGCUGGAGUGCUGGAGAGGUAAGCGGAAUUCCUAGUGUAGCGGUGAAAUGCGUAGAUAUU
RNAcentral lists this ribosomal RNA (490 nucleotides) under uncultured bacterium. RNAcentral describes it as "bacterial SSU rRNA". It matches the Rfam family "Bacterial small subunit ribosomal RNA", at positions 189 to 698 of the family's 1533-position model. The record is from RNAcentral.